CUUUCCCCUCUCUCUGCUGCUCCCCACGCUCCUACACAAUGAAUAGACUUGCAUCCCGACUACAGAACCAAUUGUCACGCUGGGAGGAGGGCAAAUCAAAUCUUACGGCAGCAACUAGGCGAGGAGAUUGCUUUUCCUCUCAGCUGGCGAAGGAGCCAAUCUGUCUCUUUUCCCCCCCGCCCGAUCCUCAGCUUUUUAGCUGGAGAGAAGGGUGAAAAGGCUAAAGUUAUUGGGGCAGAGAGAGUACUCUGCAGGUUCAGGUCUCUCGCCCACUUCUUCCUGUUCGCUCGCUCGCUCUGUCUGUGUCUCUCUGAACACUUUCUCUCCACUUCAUCCUGACGCUGGCCAUCAGUCACAGGUAGCAGCGGGGAUCGUGGCACUCCCUGCAGUCCUCCAGAUGAAAGACAACAAUAAUUAGGUGGAUAAAGGGGGCUCAGAGCAGCCAAACCGGCGCUGUUCACAUCAAAACACACACAAACACACACACACACACCCUCCAACUCCGAUUAUCUGUUUGUUUUCGGCAGCAGUUACCGUCCUUGCAGUGGUUAAACAGUCCACACUCCACAUCUGACCUGAAACCUGAGCUCACACUUAACUUAUUGACCUGUCAUUCAAUCUGAGGUCAUUCAAAAACCUGUUAAGAAGCCGCAUGUCUGUACGGAAAAGAUGAACCAAUACUUGGAAUUUGUUCUAAAAGAAAAAAAAAAAUCCGACACCCUUCAGUUCAGGUCAGCUGUCAAUCUGUCCUGGGUCGGGGAUAAGAUCAUCUUAGAUGGGUCCCCCACCCUGUAAUAAUACCAUGGUCCCAUCAGCAGACUCGUUUGCCUCUCCCCCCCCAACCCCAUGCGUCUUCCCCGUCGGCAUGAAGUGCUUCAGUUACUUGUCAAUGUCCAUGCAUGGUCAGGAAAAUGACCUUAAAAUAACAGUAAUUUGACCUCGAAAAAAAAAAAAAAAUCACACACUGCAGACCCUUCCGUGUAAAAAUGGAAUUUGAGUUCCGGAAUAAAAGUGGCCCAUUUCUGCCACCUCGUCACACGACGGAAAGACGAAAAGUGUCAAAACUACACAUCACGUUGAAAACGCUGUCUUUCUAGGACUUUCUAGGAGAUUCGGGGCAGACGUCCCUGUCAGACAACUUUGGAAUUAUAUGUUGCAUACAAAUAGGAUAUCAGACAUUUUUUUUUUUUUUUAACAGCAAGGAGUGAAAUUAACGUUAAAAAAAGUCAGGUGUCAGUUGUUGAAUGAAAGAACUGAUAAACAUUUUUUAAAUUUUAUUUCACUUCACAUGCGCUCCCUUAAAUUAAAUGCUCAAAAAUGAAGUAAGAAAUGAAAAGACGUACCUCGAAUUUAAAGCUGAUAAUGAUUAAUAAUUUGAUAAUUAAUUUAUUUAACAUAAUGAAUUUCUCUUUGCUAAACAGUUAAACUAACGGCUUGGCCAAACGGACAAAAAAAAAAAACA
Long non-coding RNA from Cynoglossus semilaevis (tongue sole), 1462 nucleotides. RefSeq lists it as uncharacterized. The transcript is spliced from 2 exons. NCBI's taxonomy places the organism in Eukaryota, Metazoa, Chordata, Actinopteri, Pleuronectiformes, Cynoglossidae. The record is from RefSeq and is a predicted model, not a curated record.